RNAcentral lists this ribosomal RNA (253 nucleotides) under uncultured bacterium. RNAcentral's name for it is "partial 16S ribosomal RNA". It matches the Rfam family "Bacterial small subunit ribosomal RNA", at positions 524 to 776 of the family's 1533-position model. The record is from RNAcentral.
UACAGAGGUCUCUAGCGUUGUUCGGAUUUAUUGGGCGUAAAGGGUGCGUAGGUGGUCGGGUAAGUCAUAUGUGAAAUCUCGGAGCUCAACUCCGAAACUGCAUGCGAUACUGCCUGACUAGAGGAGUGGAGAGGAGACUGGAAUUCUCGGUGUAGCAGUGAAAUGCGUAGAUAUCGAGAGGAACACCCGUGGCGAAGGCGGGUCUCUGGACACAUCCUGACACUGAGGCACGAAGGCUAGGGGAGCAAACGGG